Long non-coding RNA from Octopus sinensis (East Asian common octopus), 85 nucleotides. RefSeq lists it as uncharacterized. The transcript has 4 exons. Lineage: Eukaryota; Metazoa; Mollusca; Cephalopoda; Octopoda; Octopodidae. The record is from RefSeq and is a predicted model, not a curated record.
ACAAUUUACAACACCAUACUCAAUUAUAACAUAAUUUGGUCCAUAGUAAGCAUGCAAAACCAUAUAAUAUCAUUUCCAGGAGAUG